AAAGGAAUAGACGGGGGCCCGCACAAGCGGUGGAUCAUGUGGUUUAAUUCGAAGCAACGCGAAGAACCUUACCUGGAUUUGACAUCCCGAUGAAUAUUUUUAGAGAUAGAAAUAGGCUCGCAAGAGACAUUGGAGACAGGUGCUGCAUGGCUGUCGUCAGCUCGUGUUGUGAAAUGUUGGGUUAAGUCCCGCAACGAGCGCAACCCCUGCUUUUGGUUGCCAUCAUUAAGUUGGGCACUCCAGAAGGACUGCCGUCGUUAAGACGGAGGAAGGUGGGGAUGACGUCAAGUCCUCAUGGCCUUUAUAUCCAGGGCGACACACGUGAUACAAUGGUAGGUACAAAGGGUAGCCAAGUGGUGACACGGAGCCAAUCCCAAAAAACCUAUCUCAGUUCGGAUUGGAGUCUGCAAUUCGACUCCAUGAAGUUGGAAUCGCUAGUAAUCGCGGAUCAGCACGCCGCGGUGAAUACGUUCCCGGGCCUUGUACACACCGCCCGU
RNAcentral lists this ribosomal RNA (497 nucleotides) under uncultured bacterium. RNAcentral's name for it is "bacterial SSU rRNA". It matches the Rfam family "Bacterial small subunit ribosomal RNA", at positions 903 to 1397 of the family's 1533-position model. The record is from RNAcentral.